Molecule: ribosomal RNA, 490 nt
Filed under: uncultured bacterium
Lineage: Bacteria
Description: bacterial SSU rRNA
Rfam family: Bacterial small subunit ribosomal RNA
Source: RNAcentral
AAAUGAAUAGACGGGAGCCCGCACAAGCAGUGGAGUAUGUGGUUUAAUUCGACGCAACGCGAAGAACCUUACCGAAACUUGACAUCCUGCGAAGGGAAGAUAAAGAUUCCUGUGCCUUUCGGGGAACGCAGAGACAGGUGGUGCAUGGUUGUCGUCAGCUCGUGUCGUGAGAUGUUGGGUUAAGUCCCGCAACGAGCGCAACCCUUACGGUCGGUUGCUACGAGAGAGCACUCCGGCCGGACUGCCGUUGACAAAACGGAGGAAGGUGGGGAUGACGUCAAAUCAUCAUGCCCCUUAUGUUUCGGGCUACACACGUACUACAAUGGCGCAAACAAAGGGAAGCGAAGGCGCGAGCCGGAGCAAAACCCAUAAAAGGCGUCCCAGUUCGGACUGCAGGCUGAAACUCGCCUGCACGAAGUUGGAAUUGCUAGUAAUCGCGGAUCAGCAUGCCGCGGUGAAUACGUUCCCGGGCUUUGUACACACCGCCCGU